Non-coding RNA from Musa acuminata subsp. malaccensis (wild Malaysian banana), 1520 nucleotides. Lineage: Eukaryota; Viridiplantae; Streptophyta; Magnoliopsida; Zingiberales; Musaceae. The record is from RefSeq and is a predicted model, not a curated record.
GGACACCAUGCUAUCGACAUUAAAUCACGCAUGCUUGUUUUGCCGGAUCUCACCAACCUUCCGUCGGUCAACAGUUUCUUUGGGUGGCCAUGGGGUUGCUCUCCCUUUUCCUUUUCCUUUGCGCCUCCUCCGGCUUGUUGCUCGACGCUCCCCGCGCCCUCUUCCUACGCCUUCACAAGGGCACGGACUCGGCCGGGGGAUCCACACGUUUCCGGGAGAACACCCAAGGCAAAGGUGGUGGAGGGCAGGGGGUGCACAGCGGAGCAAGACGGGAGUUGGAUUCAGGUUCCGAUGGCAUCAUCAACAACAGCAGCGCUGGUUGGAAGAUUGUGAGGCAGGGGUUCACCUUUCCAGCAGGCGCUGCCCCUUUCAACAGCUGCCAUGCUUCCACAAUAGUAGAGGUGGAGAGGGGCAAUUUCUUGGUCGCCUACUUCGGGGGAUCCCGCGAAGGGGCGCCCGACGUCAAGAUCUGGUUGCAGAGAUACAACGACGGUUGCUGGCAGCCGCCAGUGAUGGCCGACGAACAGCACGAAGUGCCCAUGUGGAACCCUGUUCUGUUUCAGCUGCCCUCUCGUGAGCUACUGCUAUUCUACAAGAUUGGCCAAGAGGUCCAAAAGUGAGUGCAGCAGCACCUGUUUUGAUGUGAGAUCGCCACCUCGUUCAUGCCCUUCUUCCCUGGAGGAAGAACACCAAACACCCUCUGCUUUCAUUGUUUUUCAUGUCUCAUCAGAUGGAGCGGUUGCAUGAAGCGAUCGGUUGAUGGUGGCAUAACGUGGUCGGACAGAGAACAGCUCCCACCUGGAAUCCUCGGUCCAACCAAGAACAAGUGCAGCCCAUAUUGCUGCAUGACGGUCGGCUGCUAUGUGGAUCAUCUGUGGAGAGCUGGAAUUCCUGGGGAGCAUGGUUGGAGGUCACCACAGACUGCGGCCGAUCAUGGAGGAAGCACGGGCCUAUUUACAUCGAAGGCGAAACACUCGGCGUGAUUCAGCCGGUGCCAUACCUGACCGCUAGGGGUUCCGUCCGCAUGCUGCUGAGAUCAUUCGAGAACAUCGGCUACGUUUUCAUGGCGCAAUCCGAAGACGGUGGCAUAACUUGGAGCUUCGCUCGGCCAACGGAGCUGCCCAACCCAAACUCCGGCAUCGACGGAGUUAAGCUGAGAGACGGGCGACUCCUUCUCGUCUACAACACUGUUUCAAGAGGUGUCCUCAAGGUCGCCUCCUCCGUGGAUGAUGGUGAUUCCUGGGUUGAGAUCAUGACACUGGAGGAAGACUUGGACAUGGAGUUCUCCUAUCCAGCAGUCGUCCAGGCAUCAGACGAGCUCAUACAUGUCACCUACACCUACAACAGGACACAGAUUAAGCACAUUGUUCUCCAACCAAGUGAUGUUGGGGAGUUGUGAAUGGUGAACUUGCUUGUGCUCCACCAUCUUGCACUGCAAGUUACAGAUUUUGCAUGGAUUCAUCAGUAAUUAAUUGUUCAAUGUGUAAAGAGAUAUCCUUCCAACUCAGACCAACCAUUUU